GGUUUGUGUCUCUUUAAGUCUGUUAGGACGCUUAGGUUUGUGUCUAUUUAAGUCUGUUAGGCCCGUUUAGGUUUGUGUCUAUUUAAGUCUGUUAGGCCCGUUUAGGUUUGUGUCUAUUUAAGUCUGUUAGGCCCGUUUAGGUUUGUGUCUAUUUAAGUCUGUUAGGCCCGUUUAGGUUUGUGUCUAUUUAAGUCUGUUAGGCCCGUUUAGGUUUGUGUCUAUUUAAGUCUGUUAGGACGCUUAGGUUUGUGUCUCUUUAAGUCUGUUAGGACGCUUAGGUUUGUGUCUAUUUAAGUCUGUUAGGCCCGUUUAGGUUUGUGUCUCUUUAAGUCUGUUAGGACGCUUAGGUUUGUGUCUCUUUAAGUCUGUUAGGACGCUUAGGUUUGUGUCUAUUUAAGUCUGUUAGGCCCGUUUAGGUUUGUGUCUCUUUAAGUCUGUUAGGACGCUUAGGUUUGUGUCUCUUUAAGUCUGUUAGGACGCUUAGGUUUGUGUCUAUUUAAGUCUGUUAGGCCCGUUUAGGUUUGUGUCUCUUUAAGUCUGUUAGGACGCUUAGGUUUGUGUCUAUUUAAGUCUGUUAGGCCUGCUUAGGUUUGUGUCUAUUUAAGUCUGUUAGGACGCUUAGGUUUGUGUCUAUUUAAGUCUGUUAGGACGCUUAGGUUUGUGUCUAUUUAAGUCUGUUAGGACGCUUAGGUUUGUGUCUAUUUAAGUCUGUUAGGACGCUUAGGUUUGUGUCUAUUUAAGUCUGUUAGGACGCUUAGGUUUGUGUCUAUUUAAGUCUGUUAGGCCCGCUUAGGUUUGUGUCUAUUUAAGUCUGUUAGGACGCUUAGGUUUGUGUCUAUUUAAGUCUGUUAGGCCCGCUUAGGUUUGUGUCUAUUUAAGUCUGUUAGGACGCUUAGGUUUGUGUCUAUUUAAGUCUGUUAG
Oncorhynchus tshawytscha (Chinook salmon) is the source of this 921-nucleotide long non-coding RNA. RefSeq lists it as uncharacterized. The transcript has 4 exons. The record is from RefSeq and is a predicted model, not a curated record. NCBI's taxonomy places the organism in Eukaryota, Metazoa, Chordata, Actinopteri, Salmoniformes, Salmonidae.